This 838-nucleotide ribosomal RNA is filed under the name uncultured archaeon. RNAcentral describes it as "bacterial SSU rRNA". It matches the Rfam family "Archaeal small subunit ribosomal RNA", at positions 21 to 859 of the family's 1478-position model. The record is from RNAcentral.
AGGUUACUGCUAUCGGUGUUCGCCUAAGCCAUGCGAGUCAUAUGUUCGUAAGAACAUGGCGUACUGCUCAGUAACACGUGGAUAACCUGCCCUUGGGUCCGGCAUAACCCCGGGAAACUGGGGAUAAUUCCGGAUAACGCACAUAUGCUGGAAUGCUUUUUGCGUAAAAUGGAUUCGUCUGCCCAAGGAUGGGUCUGCGGCCUAUCAGGUAGUAGUGGGUGUAAUGUACCUACUAGCCUACGACGGGUACGGGUUGUGAGAGCAAGAGCCCGGAGAUGGAUUCUGAGACAUGAAUCCAGGCCCUACGGGGCGCAGCAGGCGCGAAAACUUUACAAUGCGGGAAACCGUGAUAAGGGGACACCGAGUGCCAGCAUCCUAUGCUGGCUGUCCGGGUGUGUAAAAUACACCUGUUAGCAAGGGCCGGGCAGGACCGGUGCCAGCCGCCGCGGUAACACCGGCGGCCCGAGUGGUGAUCGUGAUUAUUGGGUCUAAAGGGUCCGUAGCCGGUUUGGUCUGUCCUCCGGGAAAUCUGACAGCUCAACUGUUAGGCUUUCGGAGGAUACUGCCAGACUUGGAACCGGGAGAGGUAAGAGGUACUACAGGGGUAGGAGUGAAAUCUUGUAAUCCCUGUGGGACCACCUGUGGCGAAGGCGUCUUACCAGAACGGGUUCGACGGUGAGGGACGAAAGCUGGGGGCAUGAACCGGAUUAGAUACCCGGGUAGUCCCAGCCGUAAACGAUGCUCGCUAGGUGUCAGGCAUGGCGCGACCGUGUCUGGUGCCGCAGGGAAGCCGUGAAGCGAGCCACCUGGGAAGUACGGCCGCAAGGCUGAAACUUAA